GACGAACGCUGGCGGCGUGCUUAACACAUGCAAGUCGAACGGAAAGGCCCUGCUUUUGUGGGGUGCUCGAGUGGCGAACGGGUGAGUAACACGUGAGUAACCUGCCCUUGACUUUGGGAUAACUUCAGGAAACUGGGGCUAAUACCGGAUAGGAGCUCCUGCUGCAUGGUGGGGGUUGGAAAGUUUCGGCGGUUGGGGAUGGACUCGCGGCUUAUCAGCUUGUUGGUGGGGUAGUGGCUUACCAAGGCUUUGACGGGUAGCCGGCCUGAGAGGGUGACCGGCAAAAUGGGGACUGAGAUACGGCCAGACUCCUACGGGAGGCAGCAGUGGGGAAUAUUGCACAAUGGGCGGAAGCCUGAUGCAGCAACGCCGCGUGCGGGAUGACGGCCUUCGGGUUGUAAACCGCUUUCGCCUGUGACGAAGCGUGAGUGACGGUAAUGGGUAAAGAAGCACCGGCUAACUACGUG
RNAcentral lists this ribosomal RNA (467 nucleotides) under uncultured bacterium. Its description in RNAcentral is "partial 16S ribosomal RNA". It matches the Rfam family "Bacterial small subunit ribosomal RNA", at positions 28 to 507 of the family's 1533-position model. The record is from RNAcentral.